UUAAAUUGAAGAGUUUGAUCAUGGCUCAGAUUGAACGCUGGCGGCAGGCCUAACACAUGCAAGUCGAACGGUAACAGGAAGCAGCUUGCUGCUUCGCUGACGAGUGGCGGACGGGUGAGUAAUGUCUGGGAAACUGCCUGAUGGAGGGGGAUAACUACUGGAAACGGUGGCUAAUACCGCAUAACGUCGCAAGACCAAAGAGGGGGACCUUCGGGCCUCUUGCCAUCAGAUGUGCCCAGAUGGGAUUAGCUAGUUGGUGAGGUAACGGCUCACCAAGGCGACGAUCCCUAGCUGGUCUGAGAGGAUGACCAGCCACACUGGAACUGAGACACGGUCCAGACUCCUACGGGAGGCAGCAGUGGGGAAUAUUGCACAAUGGGCGCAAGCCUGAUGCAGCCAUGCCGCGUGUAUGAAGAAGGCCUUCGGGUUGUAAAGUACUUUCAGCGGGGAGGAAGGUGUUGCGGUUAAUAACCGCAGCAAUUGACGUUACCCGCAGAAGAAGCACCGGCUAACUCCGUGCCAGCAGCCGCGGUAAUACGGAGGGUGCAAGCGUUAAUCGGAAUUACUGGGCGUAAAGCGCACGCAGGCGGUCUGUCAAGUCGGAUGUGAAAUCCCCGGGCUCAACCUGGGAACUGCAUUCGAAACUGGCAGGCUUGAGUCUUGUAGAGGGGGGUAGAAUUCCAGGUGUAGCGGUGAAAUGCGUAGAGAUCUGGAGGAAUACCGGUGGCGAAGGCGGCCCCCUGGACAAAGACUGACGCUCAGGUGCGAAAGCGUGGGGAGCAAACAGGAUUAGAUACCCUGGUAGUCCACGCCGUAAACGAUGUCUACUUGGAGGUUGUGCCCUUGAGGCGUGGCUUCCGGAGCUAACGCGUUAAGUAGACCGCCUGGGGAGUACGGCCGCAAGGUUAAAACUCAAAUGAAUUGACGGGGGCCCGCACAAGCGGUGGAGCAUGUGGUUUAAUUCGAUGCAACGCGAAGAACCUUACCUGGUCUUGACAUCCACAGAACUUUCCAGAGAUGGAUUGGUGCCUUCGGGAACUGUGAGACAGGUGCUGCAUGGCUGUCGUCAGCUCGUGUUGUGAAAUGUUGGGUUAAGUCCCGCAACGAGCGCAACCCUUAUCCUUUGUUGCCAGCGAUUAGGUCGGGAACUCAAAGGAGACUGCCAGUGAUAAACUGGAGGAAGGUGGGGAUGACGUCAAGUCAUCAUGGCCCUUACGACCAGGGCUACACACGUGCUACAAUGGCGCAUACAAAGAGAAGCGACCUCGCGAGAGCAAGCGGACCUCAUAAAGUGCGUCGUAGUCCGGAUUGGAGUCUGCAACUCGACUCCAUGAAGUCGGAAUCGCUAGUAAUCGUGGAUCAGAAUGCCACGGUGAAUACGUUCCCGGGCCUUGUACACACCGCCCGUCACACCAUGGGAGUGGGUUGCAAAAGAAGUAGGUAGCUUAACCUUCGGGAGGGCGCUUACCACUUUGUGAUUCAUGACUGGGGUGAAGUCGUAACAAGGUAACCGUAGGGGAACCUGCGGUUGGAUCACCUCCUUACCUUAAAGAA
This 1554-nucleotide ribosomal RNA is filed under the name Salmonella enterica subsp. enterica serovar Typhimurium. RNAcentral describes it as "bacterial SSU rRNA". It matches the Rfam family "Bacterial small subunit ribosomal RNA". Lineage: Bacteria; Pseudomonadati; Pseudomonadota; Gammaproteobacteria; Enterobacterales; Enterobacteriaceae. The record is from RNAcentral.